This 698-nucleotide ribosomal RNA is filed under the name uncultured bacterium. Its description in RNAcentral is "bacterial SSU rRNA". It matches the Rfam family "Bacterial small subunit ribosomal RNA", at positions 8 to 702 of the family's 1533-position model. The record is from RNAcentral.
AGAGUUUGAUCAUGGCUCAGGAUGAACGCUAGCGGCAGGCCUAACACAUGCAAGUCGAGGGGUAACGUGAGUGCUUGCACUUGACGACGACCGGCGCACGGGUGCGGAACGCGUAUGGAACCUACCUUUAUCAGGGAGAUAGCCCAUGGAAACGUGGAUUAAUAUCCCAUAGUAUUAUUUUAUCGCCUGAUAGAAUAAUUAAAGAAUUUCGGAUAGAGAUGGCCAUGCGUAUCAUUAGCUAGUAGGCGAGGUAACGGCUCACCUAGGCGACGAUGAUUAGGGGUCCUGAGAGGGAGAUCCCCCACACUGGUACUGAGACACGGACCAGACUCCUACGGGAGGCAGCAGUGAGGAAUAUUGGGCAAUGGAGGCAACUCUGACCCAGCCAUGCCGCGUGCAGGAAGACGGCCCUACGGGUUGUAAACUGCUUUUAUACAGGAAGAACACCACCCACGUGUGGGUGACUGACGGUACUGUAAGAAUAAGGACCGGCUAACUCCGUGCCAGCAGCCGCGGUAAUACGGAGGGUCCGAGCGUUAUCCGGAAUCAUUGGGUUUAAAGGGUCCGUAGGCGGGCUAAUAAGUCAGAGGUGAAAGUUUGCAGCUCAACUGUAAAAUUGCCUUUGAUACUGUUAGUCUUGAGUUAUAGUGAAGUGGUUAGAAUAAGUGGUGUAGCGGUGAAAUGCAUAGAUAUCACUU